AAAAUGUCAAUAUUUACAACAUGGCAUUCCGUGUCGUGAUAUAGUUAAGGAAUUCGAGUAUGACCCAGUACCCUGUAUUUGGAACAUAAACAUGUCUCCCCGAGAUAAGAAUUACAAAACACUAAAAUGGAGUUGACGCACGCUUUUGAAAGUCACAUGAGUAUUAUACAAUGCAUUUCGAAUAAAACCGGCAGUACGCCAAGGUUGCGCACUCAUACUGGACUGGUAUCAAGCUCGAACCAUACCAACGACACCACAAUUCAGAAGAAUAAGUGCCUCGCAAAACAAGGACGUAUACAUUGGAAUACUCUACAAAGGCCAUACAUGGAGCUCUAGCAAGCUACCUUGAGAAUCAAAUAAUUAGAAUUUAUAUAAAGAAACUUUAAUCUUUUCUUCUGAUGAAUUAAAACGAAUUUUGGAAGAAUGCAAUCAAAACACAUGGCUGCUUGGAAAACUACGGCUGUGAUCUGUACAGUGAUGUGUGUCCUUGUCUCGGCUAUCAAGGAGGAAAGUGGUGUAGAGGCGUCAGGGACAGAAGACUCCGGUGAGCACGGUGGUCGCAUUCUGAAAAGCUUGGUAAAACGUUGGGGCGAAGACAUGUUUGGCGGUUGCCAUUGUAGUUGGCAUGUGGGAUGCAUCAGUGAUUCUUAUUGUCAUCAUUUACAUGGCCACGAGUACUCGUGCAGGCCCACGUGCUGUGGGGUGGAAUGUACACAUCAUGGUCAUACGAAAUCGAAGAUUUCAACGUGAGGUAUUUAAACACUUAAAAUAGUGAUCUGUUAAUGAGAAGACUUCCAGAUGAUUUAACAGAAACACAUGUAUAUAAUUUCCCUUUGUAUUUAUUUGCUUAUGAACAAAAUAUCACAAAACGUGUGUGAAGCUGAUACAAAGAACAUGUCCUUCAUCGCCUGGCGCCUUUAGAGUCUUGUGGAUAAUUAGAGGUUACAUUCUUAAUGCAUGGGCUGGAAACGAAUGACAGUUUGUUAGAGAUUUCUAAACUAAAGUCUCCAGUGGAUCCCAAAAUCAUGCAACAUUACCAUCGAUGAUCUCCUUCGUCGCCCGCUGUCUUAAGUGACUUGUAGAUAAUUACCAGAUUCCAUUCUUGGUAAAUGGACAGAAUACGUCUGGCAGACAAUUCUAAACUACAGCUUGCGGUGGAUCCCAAUAUCAGUCAGCAUUAUUAAAAACACACACAAAAAAAACAACAAAAAAACAUGGUGCCCUCCAUCGCCUGCUCCUUAAGUGUCUUGUGAAUAAUUGGACAGGUACACAAUGACAGACAUUUAUUACUUAUAAUCUCCAGUGGAUUUGAAUACCUAGCACUCAUUGUUAUUUAUUAGUAUAUUUGUAGUAUGUCUCUAGCGAUAAUCUGCCUGGUAUUGUGUGCCUAAUUUUGCAAUGAUUGAAUAUAGUCUUAUUGUACAACUUAAGAGCUAUACGUGUGGACUUUGUAAUCUAAACUCGGAACACGUUUGGUAUUCAAAAAUUCUACUUAACAUUCCUGAUUAUCUGAAACAUAUACAAACUAUUGAACUAUAUGCAUAAAUUUAUGUCCUGGACGAUCGUCUCAUGAAAAAAAAGUGCCAGUAUAUGUAUGUAUGUAUCGGUCGCCAUUUUGACUGAUGCGCUAAUGUUUAACAUUUCCUUUAUAUAAUUCUGGGUAAGUUUCCAUUGUUUAACUAAUUAUCAUGACAACAUAUGUCAACGGUAAAGAGGUUAUGAUAAAAAUAUCUUGAUAGUUUAUAUAUUAAAAUUGAAAAUGCCGUUUCGAUGUUCGUUCGCCUGACUGAAUAUUAAAUACA
Long non-coding RNA from Pecten maximus, 1802 nucleotides. RefSeq lists it as uncharacterized. NCBI's taxonomy places the organism in Eukaryota, Metazoa, Mollusca, Bivalvia, Pectinida, Pectinidae. The record is from RefSeq and is a predicted model, not a curated record. The transcript has 2 exons.